ACCGGCGGCUCGAGUGGUGGCCACUAUUACUGGGCUUAAAGCGUCCGUAGCUGGAUUGUUAAGUCUCUUGGGAAAUCUACCGGCUUAACCGAUAGGCGUUCAAGGGAUACUGGCAAUCUAGGGACCGGAAGAGAUGAGAGGUACUCCAGGGGUAGGAGUGAAAUCCUGUAAUCCUUGGGGGACCACCUGUGGCGAAGGCGUCUCACCAGAACGGCUCCGACAGUGAGGGACGAAAGCUGGGGGAGCAAACCG
RNAcentral lists this ribosomal RNA (252 nucleotides) under uncultured prokaryote. RNAcentral describes it as "partial 16S rRNA". It matches the Rfam family "Archaeal small subunit ribosomal RNA", at positions 475 to 726 of the family's 1478-position model. The record is from RNAcentral.